GGAAGCUUGAACAGGGCCAGGCUCUGGAGAGAAUGUUCUUCUGGGUGGCAGUUGGGUAAGGGGGUAAGGCAGGCCUUUCAGGAGGCAGCCUUCACCCCAGGACGUCAGCUGGAGUGGUACUAUGGACUGACCAGUUGACUGAUCAGUUGAGUGGACUCAGCUGGAGUGGUACUAUGUGAGAUGGAUGGGUGGACUUGGGAUACAAAGCCUGCAAAUGAUGUCUACCAACCAUGCCAGUUUGUUCUCUUACAGAGAGGUGUGCCCUGAACCUGCAGGAGGGACUGAGGUGUCUAACAUUCCAACCGUCCCAGCUGGAAUACAGGGUUGGAGCUGAACUUCCAAGGAGCCUGACCCCAGGCAUGCUUGGAUGACCACCUCUACCAUCAAGACCUGACACGGUGCAAAAGGCACCAGGGGCCAUGGCUGGAGGUGGCCACCCCUCAGUCCUGUACAGAUUCUGUACCCACUGGCUGGAGACCCCCAUGCAGCUGUCUCCUGCUCUUGCUGCGGGGAGACUGAACUCAGGGCUCUGCUCACUGGCUCCCUCCCAAUGGAAGCCUUCUCUGGGCUUCACAGCAUUGAAUAUUCCUCCAGAACAGCUUGUUAAAUCAAAUUUUUUUUUUUUUAGAUGGAGUCUUGCUCUGUCGCCCAGGCUGGAGUGCAGUGGCACGAUCUUGGCUCACUGCAAACUCCGCCUCCCGGGUUUAAGCGAUUCUCCUGCCUCGGCCUCCCGAAUAGCUGGGACUACAGGUGCUACCACACCCAGUAAUUUUUGUAUUUUUAGUAGAAACGGGGAUUCACUAUGUUGGCCAGGCUAGUCUCGAACUCCUGACCUCAUGAUCUGCCCUUCUGGGCCUCCCAAAGUGCUGGGAUUACAGGCAUGAGCCACCGCACCCGGCCU
This 901-nucleotide long non-coding RNA is filed under the name Homo sapiens (human). RNAcentral describes it as "non-protein coding lnc-SDF2L1-4:1". The record is from RNAcentral. Lineage: Eukaryota; Metazoa; Chordata; Mammalia; Primates; Hominidae.